GAGAAACAAGACAACUAGAUAUACAUAUCAUAUAAACCAAAUAAAACUUACUUACACGUAAUUCAUGUAAUUCCACCACUUUUUCAUUCAAGGUUCACUUUUCAUCCAUCAAUCACACUUUUCAAUCAUCAAUCACAUUACACAAGAAUCACACACUCUAAUCAAGACAUAAUAACACCUCAAUUUCAUAAUAAACAAUUAGCAAGCGCAUGUGACAGUUAUGCUAAGACUCAAGCCUAUAUGCAAUGU
This 249-nucleotide long non-coding RNA is filed under the name Glycine max (soybean). RNAcentral's name for it is "long non-coding RNA (GMAX_LNC003901)". The record is from RNAcentral. Lineage: Eukaryota; Viridiplantae; Streptophyta; Magnoliopsida; Fabales; Fabaceae.